RNAcentral lists this ribosomal RNA (266 nucleotides) under uncultured bacterium. RNAcentral's name for it is "partial 16S ribosomal RNA". It matches the Rfam family "Bacterial small subunit ribosomal RNA", at positions 793 to 1055 of the family's 1533-position model. The record is from RNAcentral.
GUCCACGCCCUAAACGAUGUCAACUGGUUGUUGGGGAAGGCAACUUCCUUAGUAACGAAGCUAACGCGUGAAGUUGACCGCCUGGGGAGUACGGCCGCAAGGUUAAAACUCAAAGGAAUUGACGGGGACCCGCACAAGCGGUGGAUGAUGUGGAUUAAUUCGAUGCAACGCGAAGAACCUUACCUACCCUUGACAUGUACCGAACCCUGGUGAGAGCUAGGGGUGCCCGAAAGGGAGCGGUAACACAGGUGCUGCAUGGCUGUCGU